This 453-nucleotide ribosomal RNA is filed under the name uncultured bacterium. RNAcentral describes it as "bacterial SSU rRNA". It matches the Rfam family "Bacterial small subunit ribosomal RNA", at positions 340 to 786 of the family's 1533-position model. The record is from RNAcentral.
UACGGAAGGCAGCAGUGGGGAAUAUUGCACAAUGGGCGCAAGCCUGAUGCAGCCAUGCCGCGUGUAUGAAGAAGGCCUUCGGGUUGUAAAGUACUUUCAGUCGUGAGGAAGGUGUUAAGGUUAAUAACCUUAGCAAUUGACGUUAGCGACAGAAGAAGCACCGGCUAACUCCGUGCCAGCAGCCGCGGUAAUACGGAGGGUGCGAGCGUUAAUCGGAAUUACUGGGCGUAAAGGGCACGCAGGCGGUUAAUUAAGUUGGAUGUGAAAUCCCCGGGCUUAACCUGGGAAUGGCAUUCAAGACUGGUUAGCUAGAGUCUUGUAGAGGGGGUAGAAUUCCAUGUGUAGCGGUGAAAUGCGUAGAGAUGUGGAGGAUACCGGUGGCGAAGGCGGCCCCUGGACAAAGACUGACGCUCAUGUGCGAAAGCGUGGGGAGCGAAACAGGGAUUAGAUACC